GGAUGUGAGGAUGGCCGUGACAUCUGUCAUCACACUGAUCAUCAGGGUUGAUUUGGCUGAUCUGUCUGGCUAAGCGGGUGUCCCCUUUCUCCCUCACUGUUCCGUGUGCAUCCCUCCCAAAACUGCAUACUCUGUGGAAGAGGACAGCCAUCCCACACUGAACCUNUACUUUCCCAAGAUAUAAAACACUUCUUCUUUGUCUAGCAACUACUUCAUAAAACUGACUGAGCAGUAUGCUGACAUUA
RNAcentral lists this small RNA (245 nucleotides) under Salvator merianae (Argentine black and white tegu). RNAcentral's name for it is "7SK RNA (ENSSMRG00000023344.1)". The stretch from base 1 to 184 matches the Rfam family "7SK RNA". From Rfam's summary of the family: 7SK was discovered as an abundant small nuclear RNA in the mid-70s but a possible function has only recently been suggested. Two independent studies have found that 7SK RNA binds the CDK9/cyclin T complex (known as elongation factor P-TEFb). P-TEFb activates transcription by phosphorylating the C-terminal domain of RNA polymerase II. The record is from RNAcentral. Lineage: Eukaryota; Metazoa; Chordata; Lepidosauria; Squamata; Teiidae.